GUAUACUUCGUAACCAAAUAAAGACCAAGUGAGUAUUUGGUUUCCCUGUGUGCUGUAUUUGGUUUUCUCGUCUUAUUGAAAACAUUUUCAUGGGCAGAGCUCCUGGUAGGGCGAGGUCGCCCUACCUUGAUUCCUUGCAAAACAUAAGAUAGAGGUCUCAUGCGUAUCAGUUUCGGUAAUUAAGAAAGAAAAUAAAAAUAAAAAGAUGAAAGGUAUUAGGGGUGUUGGGCCUUGUAGUUUGUAUCUUGGGCCUGGGGCUGACGCUCUCUGGGCUGGCUAGGAUCGUGGGAAUCGAACGCGUUGCAUUCCCCUCGACUCCUCGUCCAGAACUCCUCGCCUCUGGACACCCUGGAGCUUGGGGGCGCUGCUAGGAUUAUAGGAUUAGGCAAGUGGUAAGCUGGGAGGAGUAGGAGACCGACGACGGGGCGGCGUGCGCCAAGGCCCGAGUCAACGGCUAAGG
RNAcentral lists this long non-coding RNA (460 nucleotides) under Brachypodium distachyon (stiff brome). RNAcentral's name for it is "long non-coding RNA (BDIS_LNC005704)". Lineage: Eukaryota; Viridiplantae; Streptophyta; Magnoliopsida; Poales; Poaceae. The record is from RNAcentral.